GGGGAUGUAGCUCAGUGGUAGAGCGUCCGCUUUGCAUGCGGAAGGUCCGUGGUUCGAUCCCCCGCAUCUCCA
Molecule: transfer RNA, 72 nt
Filed under: Nematostella vectensis (starlet sea anemone)
Lineage: Eukaryota; Metazoa; Cnidaria; Anthozoa; Actiniaria; Edwardsiidae
Description: tRNA-Ala
Rfam family: tRNA
About the family: Transfer RNA (tRNA) molecules are approximately 80 nucleotides in length.
Source: Rfam by way of RNAcentral